RNAcentral lists this ribosomal RNA (400 nucleotides) under uncultured bacterium. RNAcentral describes it as "bacterial SSU rRNA". It matches the Rfam family "Bacterial small subunit ribosomal RNA", at positions 355 to 747 of the family's 1533-position model. The record is from RNAcentral.
UGGGGAAUUUUGGACAAUGGGCGCAAGCCUGAUCCAGCAAUGCCGCGUGAGUGAAGAAGGCCUUCGGGUUGUAAAGCUCUUUCAGUUGAGAAGAAAAGAACGUGAAUAAUACGCGCGUUUCAUGACGGUAUCAACAGAAGAAGCACCGGCUAACUACGUGCCAGCAGCCGCGGUAAUACGUAGGGUGCGAGCGUUAAUCGGAAUUACUGGGCGUAAAGGGUGCGCAGGCGGUUCUGAAAGUCAGAUGUGAAAUCCCUGGGCUUAACCUAGGAAUUGCGUUUGAAACUACAGAACUAGAGUGUGGCAGAGGGGGGUGGAAUUCCAUGUGUAGCAGUGAAAUGCGUAGAGAUAUGGAAGAACAUCGAUGGCGAAGGCAACCCCCUGGGUUAACACUGACGCU